GUUGACCUCGGAUCAGGUAGGACUACCCGCUGAACUUAAGCAUAUCAAUAAGCGGAGGAAAAGAAACCAACAGGGAUUGCCCCAGUAACGGCGAGUGAAGCGGCAACAGCUCAAAUUUGAAAUCUGGCCCCCGGGUCCGAGUUGUAAUUUGCAGAGGAUGCUUCGGGCGAGGUGCCUUCCGAGUUCCCUGGAACGGGACGCCACAGAGGGUGAGAGCCCCGUCUGGUCGGACACCGAGCCCGUGUGAAGCUCCUUCGAAGAGUCGAGUAGUUUGGGAAUGCUGCUCAAAAUGGGAGGUAUAUGUCUUCUAAAGCUAAAUAUUGGCCAGAGACCGAUAGCGCACAAGUAGAGUGAUCGAAAGAUGAAAAGCACUUUGAAAAGAGGGUUAAAAAGUACGUGAAAUUGUUGAAAGGGAAGCGCCCAUGACCAGACUUGGGCCCGGUGAAUCACCCGGCGUUCUCGCCGGUGCACUUUGCCGGGCACAGGCCAGCAUCAGUUUGGCGCGGGGGACAAAGGCUUCGGGAACGUGGCUCCCUCGGGAGUGUUAUAGCCCGCUGCGUAAUACCCUGCGCCGGACUGAGGUACGCGCAUCGCAAGGAUGCUGGCGUAAUGGUCAUCAGCGACCCGUCUUGAAACACGGACCAAGGAGUCGUCUUCGUAUGCGAGUGUUCGGGUGUCAAACCCCUACGCGGAAUGAAAGUGAACGCAGGUGAGAGCUUCGGCGCAUCAUCGACCGAUCCUGAUGUUCUCGGAUGGAUUUGAGUAAGAGCAUACGGGGCCGGACCCGAAAGAAGGUGAACUAUGCCUGUAUAGGGUGAAGCCAGAGGAAACUCUGGUGGAAGCUCGCAGCGGUUCUGACGUGCGAAUCGAUCGUCAAAUAUGGGCAUGGGGGCGAAAGACUAAUCGAACCUUCUAGUAGCUGGUUUCCGCCGAAGUUUCCCUCAGGAUAGCAGUGUUGGU
Molecule: ribosomal RNA, 960 nt
Filed under: Cordyceps tenuipes
Lineage: Eukaryota; Fungi; Ascomycota; Sordariomycetes; Hypocreales; Cordycipitaceae
Description: eukaryotic LSU rRNA
Rfam family: Eukaryotic large subunit ribosomal RNA
Source: RNAcentral